This 387-nucleotide ribosomal RNA is filed under the name Canis lupus familiaris (dog). RNAcentral's name for it is "SSU rRNA". It matches the Rfam family "Eukaryotic small subunit ribosomal RNA", at positions 587 to 972 of the family's 1831-position model. The record is from RNAcentral. Lineage: Eukaryota; Metazoa; Chordata; Mammalia; Carnivora; Canidae. RNAcentral also lists the same sequence under 2 other names.
AGCUCCAAUAGCGUAUAUUAAAGUUGCUGCAGUUAAAAAGCUCGUAGUUGGAUCUUGGGAGCGGGCGGGCGGUCCGCCGCGAGGCGAGCCACCGCCCGUCCCCGCCCCUUGCCUCUCGGCGCCCCCUCGAUGCUCUUAGCUGAGUGUCCCGCGGGGCCCGAAGCGUUUACUUUGAAAAAAUUAGAGUGUUCAAAGCAGGCCCGAGCCGCCUGGAUACCGCAGCUAGGAAUAAUGGAAUAGGACCGCGGUUCUAUUUUGUUGGUUUUCGGAACUGAGGCCAUGAUUAAGAGGGACGGCCGGGGGCAUUCGUAUUGCGCCGCUAGAGGUGAAAUUCUUGGACCGGCGCAAGACGGACCAGAGCGAAAGCAUUUGCCAAGAAUGUUUUCA